GGGGGUGAAUGGAUUCGACGGGAACGUGGACGUGAGGGUAGCAGGCGGAGCUUUCUGCCAGCUCCUAAAACCGCGCAGAACACCAAUAAGUGCCAAUGAUUUUGCACUUGCCGCUCCUGCCCUGAACUAAACCUAGGGGCUAUAAUAGGAGCUGUCUCCGUGGGCCUCCGCCCGUAGGGCCCACAGGGGACACCGAUCAUGCGGGCUGGCGCGCCAGAGCGCUUCCCGAGGGCGCGUGAGAUAACAGGGAAGCUCGGCGGCCGAGAUCAGGUCUCGCAGGAGCUCGGCCGCUUAAAACCAAUGGUGAGAAUAAGCCUGUAGAAGCCAAGCGAAAGCGUUUUCGGACGGGGGUUCGACUCCCCCCACCUCCACCA
This 374-nucleotide transfer-messenger RNA is filed under the name Bipolaricaulia (SeqCode). Its description in RNAcentral is "DRJF01 sp011052375 Standard tmRNA". It matches the Rfam family "transfer-messenger RNA". Rfam says of the family: Bacterial tmRNA, also known as 10Sa RNA or SsrA, is named for its dual tRNA and mRNA-like properties. RNAcentral also lists the same sequence under 2 other names. Lineage: Bacteria; Candidatus Bipolaricaulota. The record is from RNAcentral.